UGAAAUCUUAAAGUGUAUGAGUGAGAUUCUUUUACUUUCUGUCGUUGAUGUUCAUCAUCAUCCUCAUUGUUGCCUGGACCAGUACCUGAAGAAGCCAUUAGGGGACAAGAGAGGUUACUUCCUUGUGAUUUGGAGAAUUCACCUCUGCUUCUACCAACAACAGAUGGUAACAAUCAUGAUUGAUGCCAAACCUCAGCAGACAUGAUUCCAUGGUGGCAGUGGAUGCUGUCCCCUGUCUGGCCGAAACCGCUGCUGGCUUCGAUAAACACACCAUCAUCAGUUAUUCCAACAGUCUCAAUAAGAGAUUGCUUUGGGGGAUCCUUGGUGGGUAUAAAUACGGAGCUCAGUGGGUUGUCUGACAUCCCUUUACCCACGUGUUCGUUGUGAAAAACUAUAGAAAUGUUAUGCUUCUUAAGUUCACUCCUUGGUCCAAUACCGCUGAUCAAUAACAGCUGGGGGCUUCCAAUUGCACCGGCAGAGACAAUAAUCUCGCUGCCUCUCUUUUGGCUGA
This is a long non-coding RNA of Aegilops tauschii subsp. strangulata, 511 nucleotides long. RefSeq lists it as uncharacterized. The record is from RefSeq and is a predicted model, not a curated record. Lineage: Eukaryota; Viridiplantae; Streptophyta; Magnoliopsida; Poales; Poaceae.